RNAcentral lists this long non-coding RNA (1217 nucleotides) under Homo sapiens (human). Its description in RNAcentral is "long intergenic non-protein coding RNA 470". The record is from RNAcentral. Lineage: Eukaryota; Metazoa; Chordata; Mammalia; Primates; Hominidae.
UGCGUCAGACUCCCGAGUAGCUGGGACUACAGGCGCCCGCCAUGAUGCCCGGCUAAUUUUUUGUAUUUUUAGCAGAGACGGGGUUUCACCCUGUUAGCCAGGAUGGUCUCAUCUCCUGACCUCGUGAUCCGCCCGCCUAGGCCUCCCAAAGUGCUGGGAUUACAGGCGUGAGCCACCGCGCCCGGCCUAAUAAAGGACAAUUUUUAAUAGCCACUGGACUAUUUAAGUGAUCUCUUCUGUCAGUUUCUUUUACCAUCAGAGGACACAGCAGCAAGGUGCCAUCCUAGAAGCAGAGAGCAGACCCUUACCAGACAACCAACCAGCUGGUGCCAUGAUCUUGGACUUCUCGGCCUCCAGAACUUUGAUUAAUUGGAUCCUCCACCUUGCAUAUAUACAUCUUGCAUAUAUAUACACGGGCUCAAUUAUUAGAUUUGUCAGGAUAAUCAAAUAAAAAUACCAGGCACUUAAACACGCAGCAUGAGGAAAAUGGAACAACAAUCUUGAGGUGCCUUCUGAAUCAUCAGAUUAAAUUAUGCUUCGGUCUUGCACUGCUGCCUAGGCUAGAGUGCAGUGGUGCAAUCAGGGCUCACUGCAGCCUCACUCAACUUCCCAGUCUCAAGCCAUCCUCCUACCUCAGCCUCUGUUCCACUAAUCUACUUGUCAAUUUUUCCAGCAACACCACACCCUCCUGAUCACCAUAGCUUUAUGCAACAACAAGAAACAAAUUUAUUAGCUAACCUAACCACUAAUGACGCAAGAGACAAUUCUAAGGACUUUCAAAACAGCAAAGUAGGAGCAGCUGCUACCUCUAGGGAUGAGGGAUGCAAUUGUCCAAUUAUUGGUGAAAUUGUCAUUUCAUGCUAUUGGCUAUUUGAAAUUCCUCCUCUAAUUUCAGAAUAAAUCACUGAAAUUGACAUCGGCCAGUCUGAAUUUCAAGAAAUUACCUGCUGAAGACAAGAGGGAUCUCUUCUUCAGAUUUGCAGUCUGGGGAAGACACAGCCUCUACUGUACUUUAGAACCUGAGAUAUGGUGGUGGAGGGAGCCCUGGGUCGAGUGGUAAGAUUCACCCUUAGGUUAGUAUUGACGUAAGGUGACGAGGAGCUGUAGACAAAAGAUUGUAACCAUAAGAACUUCAUAGUUUUUGUAUUUUCACCGAGCUUAUAUUUGGUGUGUUUUUUGUCUUUUCUUUAUGAUUAUCAAUAAAAUGCUUGAAAGGA